This 247-nucleotide non-coding RNA is filed under the name Caenibius tardaugens. Lineage: Bacteria; Pseudomonadati; Pseudomonadota; Alphaproteobacteria; Sphingomonadales; Erythrobacteraceae. The record is from RNAcentral.
CCUAUCGGCUGCAGCGUCGGGUUGCCUCGUGCGGCCCGACACGAUUGCGUCGGUACCGGGAACACAGUGCAAGCAUGAAUUUGCUUUAAGCUGAGGCUAUCCCUGUAACUGUAUGCGGCGAGUGCGAUAUGCGUGUGGUUCCUUGCGGAUACACAGCCACUGGACGAUAAAAAUUGGAUCGACCGGGAAGGUGCAUUUCAAACGAUGACCCGUGAGCCAGGAGACCGACCGGCGCAUGUCGCUCAUG